This 253-nucleotide ribosomal RNA is filed under the name uncultured bacterium. RNAcentral describes it as "partial 16S ribosomal RNA". It matches the Rfam family "Bacterial small subunit ribosomal RNA", at positions 524 to 776 of the family's 1533-position model. The record is from RNAcentral.
UACGUAGGUGGCAAGCGUUGUCCGGAUUUAUUGGGUUUAAAGGGUGCGUAGGUGGUCUAUUAAGUCAGUGCUGAAAUAUCCCGGCUUAACCGGGAGGGUGGCAUUGAUACUGAUGGACUUGAGUAAAGUUGAGGUGGGCGGAAUUGACGGUGUAGCGGUGAAAUGCUUAGAUAUCGUCAAGAACACCUAUUGCGAAGGCAGCUCACUAAGCUUUAACUGACGCUGAGGCACGAAAGUGUGGGGAUCAAACAGG